This is a long non-coding RNA of Seriola aureovittata, 792 nucleotides long. RefSeq lists it as uncharacterized. The record is from RefSeq and is a predicted model, not a curated record. Lineage: Eukaryota; Metazoa; Chordata; Actinopteri; Carangiformes; Carangidae. The transcript is spliced from 3 exons.
ACAAGUUCAAAGGUUUAUCAGAGCACAAUGUUUCUGUUAAAGAGCAGGAAAAUGGAUGAAAAUGUUUCAGCUUGAAGUACCAACUGUGUCUUUGUUUUCUUUAGUCCUUUAUUCAUUUUAUUUUAUCAUUGAGUGAAGAGAAGAAGUUACUUUCUCCCUCUCUGCUGUCUCUCUCUCUCUCUCUCUCUCCGUGUGUGUCUGUGUGUGUCUGUGUGAUGGUUGGGGACUUGUUGUGCUGUGAGAGAGUGAUGGGUUAGGCAAGAUGACAGGCUGGCACAGGGGGCAAGCAGGACGGCGACUGAACAUGCUCGGAUCUGGGGAGAGGUGUCAGUCCUGCAGCCAGCCAAGCAGAAACACACAGGAACACUUAGGAAAAGGUGAUUCAGAGAGGAAACAAACAGAAGAUCCACUUUUGAUAUUCCUGAGACCUGAAGGAGGUGAAUAAAGAGAAUGUCCUUCAAAGUGGAUCUAAGCAGCUGUGUCAGCAAGCAUCCAGCCUGCAGAGGGGUCUUUGAUCAACACACUGAGUCCGUACAAGCUGUUCCGCCGCUGACCCUGACCUCCGACCUCUGGAUUAUCGGGCUGAGGGUCAGAGUCGAUGUGCGCUGGACUAUGAGGCAGAGAUUAGCCUCCAAAGUUCCUGCCCAGCAGAGUUCAGAGAAGGAGGAGGUGGAGGCAGUGUGUGGGGCAGAGGUGGGAGGAGUGGGUGGGUGGUGUGGAUUUGACGGAGAAAGACUGAGCUGCAACUCUGUAAGCAGAGCCCCCCCCCUCCACCUCGACACCUAUCCCACC